AUUUUAAGUGUCCAGAAUAAAUUUAAAUGUCUUCUUCCUGUUAGGACCAGAAGAAGAGGACUCUUUCCCUUCGGUCCUCCACUCAGCAGCUUCUUUUUUCUCAGUUGGAUUUUUAUUUUCCAUCACAACAACCUUACAAAUGUUGAUGAAAAUAAUUCAUGUCUGAGUUCCUGUUUCUCCUUUUUAUUUGGGUCUGAGCAGGGAGAGUUUCAUCAGGUGUCCCACAGCAGCUUGAUAGAAUCGGGCUGUGGUACCGUCGGUAAUGAGCCGAACGGGUCGGCGGUGUGUCGCUACGACUCGCUCAUCUGAGGCGCCACUGGUGGGGGAGAUUUGAGAUCAAACAGCCUGAAAACGGCCUCACCUGUUGAGUUUGAGUCGCUACACGCAGCGAGCUUCUCCUGCUGGGCAGAUCUGAGAGAAGAAAAUGAGGAUUUAACUAUACCGUCCUCAUAAGAAGCUGCCUUCUGACCCAGAUGAACUCAUCCAUCCAUGCCUGGUUCCCUUCAUCCAUCCAUCCUGGUUCCCUUCAUUCAUCCAUCCACCCAUCCAUCCAUCCUGGUUCCCUUUCAUUCCUGGGAAUUCCUUGCUGACCAUUUGAUUUCUUUACAGGGAUGUUCUCAGUCUUUAAAAUAAAAAUGAAUAAA
This is a long non-coding RNA of Xiphophorus hellerii (green swordtail), 644 nucleotides long. RefSeq lists it as uncharacterized. The record is from RefSeq and is a predicted model, not a curated record. The transcript is spliced from 2 exons. Lineage: Eukaryota; Metazoa; Chordata; Actinopteri; Cyprinodontiformes; Poeciliidae.